This 713-nucleotide ribosomal RNA is filed under the name uncultured Wolbachia sp. RNAcentral describes it as "bacterial SSU rRNA". It matches the Rfam family "Bacterial small subunit ribosomal RNA", at positions 9 to 750 of the family's 1533-position model. The record is from RNAcentral. Lineage: Bacteria; Pseudomonadati; Pseudomonadota; Alphaproteobacteria; Rickettsiales; Anaplasmataceae.
GAGUUUGAUCAUGGCUCAGAAUGAACGCUGGCGGCAGGCCUAACACAUGCAAGUCGAACGGAGUUACAUUGUAGCUCGCUAUGGUAUAACUUAGUGGCAGACGGGUGAGUAAUGUAUAGGAAUCUACCUAGUAGUACGGAAUAAUUGUUGGAAACGGCAACUAAUACCGUAUACGCCCUACGGGGGAAAAAUUUAUUGCUAUUAGAUGAGCCUAUAUUAGAUUAGUUAGUUGGUGAGGUAAAGGCUUACCAAGACAAUGAUCUAUAGCUGAUCUGAGAGGAUGAUCAGCCACACUGGAACUGAGAUACGGUCCAGCCUCCUACGGGAGGCAGCAGUGGGGAAUAUUGGACAAUGGACGAAAGCCUGAUCCAGCCAUGCCGCAUGGGUGAAGAAGGCCUUCGGGUUGUAAAGCUCUUUUAGUGAGGAAGAUAAUGACGGUACUCACAGAAGAAGUCCUGGCUAACUCCGUGCCAGCAGCCGCGGUAAUACGGAGAGGGCUAGCGUUAUUCGGAAUCAUUGGGCGUAAAGGGCGCGUAGGCGGGUUAGUAAGUUAAAAGUGAAAUCCCAAGGCUCAACCUUGGAACUGCUUUUAAAACUGCUAGUCUAGAGAUUGAAAGAGGAUAGAGGAAUUCCUAGUGUAGAGGUGAAAUUCGUAAAUAUUAGGAGGAACACCAGUGGCGAAAGCGUCUAUCUGGUUCAAAUCUGACGCUGAG